RNAcentral lists this ribosomal RNA (574 nucleotides) under uncultured archaeon. Its description in RNAcentral is "bacterial SSU rRNA". It matches the Rfam family "Archaeal small subunit ribosomal RNA", at positions 80 to 652 of the family's 1478-position model. The record is from RNAcentral.
CGAUUACGGCUCAGUAACACGUGGAUAACCUGCCCUUGGGACCGGGAUAACCCCGGGAAACUGGGGAUAAACCCGGAUAGGUGAUGCUGCCUGGAAUGGUUCUUCACCGAAACACCUUCGGGUGCCCAAGGAUGGGUCUGCGGCCGAUUAGGUUGUUGGUAGGGUAACGGCCUACCAAGCCGAUCAUCGGUACGGGUUGUGAGAGCAAGAGCCCGGAGAUGGAACCUGAGACAAGGUUCCAGGCCCUACGGGGUGCAGCAGGCGCGAAACCUCCGCAAUGUGAGAAAUCGCGACGGGGGGAUCCCAAGUGCCAUUCUUAACGGGAUGGCUUUUCAUUAGUGUAAAGAGCUUUUGGAAUAAGAGCUGGGCAAGACCGGUGCCAGCCGCCGCGGUAACACCGGCAGCUCUAGUGGUAGCAGUUUUUAUUGGGCCUAAAGCGUCCGUAGCCGGUUUAAUAAGUCUCUGGUGAAAUCCUGCAGCUUAACUGUGGGAAUUGCUGGAGAUACUAUUAGACUUGAGAUCGGGAGAGGUUAGAGGUACUCCCAGGGUAGAGGUGAAAUUCUGUAAUCCUGGG